Molecule: long non-coding RNA, 923 nt
Organism: Helianthus annuus (common sunflower)
Lineage: Eukaryota; Viridiplantae; Streptophyta; Magnoliopsida; Asterales; Asteraceae
Exons: 2
Source: RefSeq, a predicted model, not a curated record
AUCAACCACCAUUGCCACCACCUAUCACCACUACCAUCUCCCCCUCUACUCUGCAAACGAAUCUAUAAUAAAAGAGUUCUUUAAAUUCCUAUAAUCUUUUCAAAAUGCUAAGCGGCUAUGAUUUCUAACCUCUCUUCUAUCUCUCGCAGUCUCGCUUCUAGAUCUCGCCACCCUUUUCUUCUUUUACUUCAAAUCUGUCACUCAAAUCAUACUUUUUCAUCCUUUUUUUCCCACUCAAUUUCCCCCAAAACAAAAACCUAAUCUCGAAAUAUAAACAAAAGAUUACCUUUUUUUUGUUAUUAAGCAAACCAUUUGAAAAAUUACACUCAUCUCCGCCCGCGAUUUCGAUCUCUCAACAAACAAGGAUAUCACAGGUAUCGCCGGAUGAUUCCAAUCAAGAAGAGCAAGCUACAGUGAAAAGGAAGUUAGUCUCAGCUUAUAAGCUUAUAAGCUGAAACUAAAUGAUUGUUGAUUUGAUGUGUAUAUGUAUGUAUGUUUGUUAAUUUGUGUAUCCGUUGAUUGUAGAUGCGGUUAUUCUGCGGUGUUGUAUUUGUUGCAUAGGCGGCUUUUAACGGCUGGUGGAGAUGAACCGUCAGGAAAGGAAGAUGGAAGUACCGGAUUUCGGAUGGUUGGAGGUAGUGCUGCGUUGCCACCUGUCAUUUGAGGGAUGUUUUUUUAUCCCUCCGGGUACAUAAUGCAAGAAAUGACAUCCCUCAACGAAAGGACAGCCAGAAGUGCUGCACAUAAAUCAACAAAUAGAAUUGAAAAAGUUGUCAAAAAUUGAGUGAGUUCGAAUCGAAUCAGUGAUGUUGAACUGGUAGUUUAUGUUGAUUUGUAUCUGUUGAUUGUUGAAGCAGUUAAUCUGUUUGUUUUAGAUAUAGUGAGUCGAAUUGAUAUCAGUGAUGUUUGAAAAAUAAUUGCAA